Molecule: transfer RNA, 73 nt
Organism: Pseudomonas sp. BAY1663
Lineage: Bacteria; Pseudomonadati; Pseudomonadota; Gammaproteobacteria; Pseudomonadales; Pseudomonadaceae
Rfam family: tRNA
About the family: Transfer RNA (tRNA) molecules are approximately 80 nucleotides in length.
Source: Rfam
GCCGGUAUAGCUCAGCUGGUAGAGCAACUGACUUGUAAUCAGUAGGUCCCGGGUUCGACUCCUGGUGCCGGCA